Larimichthys crocea (large yellow croaker) is the source of this 322-nucleotide long non-coding RNA. RefSeq lists it as uncharacterized. Lineage: Eukaryota; Metazoa; Chordata; Actinopteri; Sciaenidae. The record is from RefSeq and is a predicted model, not a curated record. The transcript has 3 exons.
CUGUUUUCAUUCCUUGGUUGUUAACCUAUUACAGCGAGCCAUGUCAGUCAUAAAGGCAUUUCAAGAAGUCAAUUCCCUGCAGCUCCUCAGAGCUCCACUAUUUACUUUAGUUUCUGGAUGCAGUCAAUGGUCUGCAGGAAGCAUUGGUCCAGAACGAGGGAAUACCUCUGAGGAGAAGGAUGGAGAAAGGAGUCAUUCAAACCUGGAAUGACAAAUAGCUGCUGCUCCAGGAUCACCAUCCUCCGGCGUUCCUCCUGGUAUUCCUGUUUGGCCUCCAAAAACCUCUGGUACAUCUCUUUUUCUCUGGAAGAUUCAAGCAAGA